UACAGAGGGUGCGAGCGUUAAUCGGAAUUACUGGGCGUAAAGAGCUCGUAGGUGGUUUGUCGCGUUGUUCGUGAAAACUCACAACUCAAUUGUGGGCGUGCGGGCGAUACGGGCAGACUGGAGUACUGCAGGGGAGACUGGAAUUCCUGGUGUAGCGGUGGAAUGCGCAGAUAUCAGGAGGAACACCGGUGGCGAAGGCGGGUCUCUGGGCAGUAACUGACGCUGAGGAGCGAAAGCGUGGGGAGCAAACGGG
This 253-nucleotide ribosomal RNA is filed under the name uncultured bacterium. Its description in RNAcentral is "partial 16S ribosomal RNA". It matches the Rfam family "Bacterial small subunit ribosomal RNA", at positions 524 to 776 of the family's 1533-position model. The record is from RNAcentral.